Molecule: small nucleolar RNA, 127 nt
Organism: Otolemur garnettii (small-eared galago)
Lineage: Eukaryota; Metazoa; Chordata; Mammalia; Primates; Galagidae
Source: Ensembl
AGGCACUUCAUUGACCUGCUUUCUUUAUAUGUGAACAGUGUUAUUUUUUAUGUGCUAUAUAAAUAGCUAAAGGUUAAUUAGCAGCAUAACUAUAAAUAGUAAAGGUGCCAGUCUUCUUAAGGCAAAA